UAUAUUUUGGAAUGUGUACAGCUGAUUUUCAGACCAGUAACUGACGUAUAAGUAACUGGCGUAUAAGAAAUUGACGUAUAAGUAAUUGGCAUAUGAGUAACCACUUUUGAGACAGUAUUUAUGACUCUACAUUUAUUCUACUGAUAUCGAAGACUCCUGCUACUAUCGAAGAGUCUACAUCCACUUCCGUUAGUCUGGAGACUGCCUGCCUACCUGUUCACUAGGUCACAAAAUAA
Molecule: long non-coding RNA, 236 nt
Organism: Sitophilus oryzae (rice weevil)
Lineage: Eukaryota; Metazoa; Arthropoda; Insecta; Coleoptera; Curculionidae
Exons: 2
Source: RefSeq, a predicted model, not a curated record